GGGUUUCCACAACAUCCGUAUUCGCCAGACGAAGGUCCGCCCCCAUUUUCAACGGGAGCACGCUGAGCAAUGCGCAGCACGAACCCUGCUAGCAGAGCGAUAGAAAAAGCAGGUUGACCCCAUGCUGACCCCAGAGGAGCGCCAACUCAACGAUGCCGAACCUUUGCUACGAAAACCCCACCUACAAAUUCUUUGAACAAAUAAACUGAGGCGUUGGGUGUGGCCUCCCGGUCAUGCCCAAUCACACGAGGUGCUCCCUUUCGGUCUCAGUCAGACCACCUAUGAUGUAUUAAGACGUAUCAUUACGACCAAAACUUUAAUGUAACUUGACAAGCAAAUAGGGGGUAUAUGCCCCAAACCUCUGACUAACCAUGUCCCCACAUCAGUUUUUGGAAUGUAAACCAGUAACAGACGUAUUACCAACUGACCCAUCCUCUUACUCUUCUGGUCUAGAAUAAAGGGGUGGACAUUAAUGCCACAGUGUAACAAUCAUCUCCUUUGGAGAGAUUGACUCCUGUCUACUUGGAUAGGAAUGCCAUUGGAUUGGAUUGAGUUGACCCCCUUAUUCUUAAUAAAAUGGAUUGAUAUUUGUCAGAAACUGACUCAAUGUUUAACUGUGCAUUUUGCUUUGUUCUGUAUGUCAUCUGUUUAUUCUUUAUUGGAUUGUGUUACAGCUCUGAUUCAUUAUAUUCCAGUUCAGAUAAAUGGUGUAAAAUGUGAACAAACAAUAUAGUAUAGCUGAUCUAAAACUCCACACAAACUAGUUCUCUAUCUAAAGCUACAAUGACUGACAUGAUGACCACCAAGCCAACCCCACAUCCAUGAGUCAAUGAAGGACAUCUUCUUUCAAAGCCAGGCACAGUUGUAAAGGUUAAGCAGAGAUGAGGAGGUUGGGUAGUUAUAAUGAAUGAAGCAGAGAUGAGGAGGUUGGGUAGUUAUAAUGAAUGAAGCAGAGAUGAGGAGGUUGGGUAGUUAUAAUGAAUGAAGCAGAGAUGAGGAGGUUGGGUAGUUAUAAUGAAUGAAGCAGAGAUGAGGAGGUUGGGUAGUUAUAAUGAAUGAAGCAGAGAUGAGGAGGUUGGGUUGGGAAUGUGAGGUAUUGAAGCUUGAUUAACUUAGUUGUUACUUAGGUAUUACUUACACCAACAUAUAUUAUCAAUCCAUAGUAAAAUGGGUUGGUGGUCUUUUGAUAUUCAGCCCAACCUCAUCCUUCAGUCUGUGGCAUCUGACAUAACCGGCACCCAGAGCCUAUUCCAUGUGAUGUGAACUAUAUAAUUGAACUAAUGUACCAAAUGUACCAUUUAAGUGAAUGACUGCUACCUAAAAAAAUUGUAACAAAGUGAUGAGAAGUCCAUUAUUUUAAUGAAAGCAUGCAGAUUUGGUGUAUGAUGCUACCGUCUUUGUGUUGUUCCUGUUCUUUGCUUUUGAUAAGAUGGAAAUGUGACAGAUUAAAAUGGACAGUGUAAAUAUCUUUAGAAAAAAACAUGACUUCAAAAUAGACAUUUCUAGAGUGAAUUUGCAUCAGUGUAAUGGAAUAAUAACAAAAAAGAAGAAUACCUUGUGCUGUUCAGAGAGAGAGAACAUUUUCCUAACAUGGCUGAUUGAAAACGGACUGUUGUAAAAACCAGCACAAGAUGACACAAUUAACUUCUGACUGAAUGUAUUUUAGGUAGACGUUGAGACUCCAUUUCCUCUUCGAUAGUGCAUCACUCCCCUAGUAGAACCCCAAGGACUAACCUGUAAUCAGUAGACAAGCUACAUGUCCAAAACCUUCCUCAUUAUCUCACUGUAGUUUAACACUGAAUGUCUCUUUUCACUAUUUGCAGGUUUGAAUGAGAACAGUGGGAUGUCAAUCAUUGUUGUGGUGCAAUGGACUUCAGCAUUAUGGAACAUAGUGAUGUUGGCAAACAUGGUGAUAUUGGGUAACAGUUGCAUGUAAGGGAGGUACGCCGAGGACUGGACUAUUGCUCAGAUUGGGUGGGACCACAAUAUUUGCUCUAGCACACCUUAGUGAGUUAUUUUCAGUUUAUUGCUUCAAAUUCAAGUGUAAUCUUUAUUAGGGACAUGGCAGGUUUCAGGCAGGAUGAACAUAUAGACGCUGUAUAUAAACCAGUUGAAUGUUAGUCCACUAGGGAGAUGUUGCAUCUCACUGAUGCAUCUGUAACAGUUAGUAUGAUCAAUAUCAAAUCAAAUCAAAUCAAAUUUUAUUUGUCACAUACACAUGGUUAGCAGAUGUUAAUGCGAGUGUAGCGAAAUAUCAUUCACUGUAUAUAGAUAACAAGGGAUUGUCCCCUUUUCAAUGGCUGAUUGUUACCUUUUAAAACACCACCAGUCCUGAAACAUCCUUAGAGGUUCAUCAUUUAUUUAUAACUCAUGGCUAGGUUGUUCUGCUGUUGUGUACUCCAUGAAACCACUGGUGACACAAGGGAGUAAUUUAUUGAUCACAUCAGAGGAGAUGUGGCUGAUUUCACCCUCAAACCGUUCUGUUUUAUUAUUCAAACACUGCUUUGAAUAUGGGGAAGAUGAGUUCAAAUACUUGACCUCAGAGAUUUGAAUUUUCCAUGUAUUGCUUUUGGAUUGUAGGAAUCACAGGUUGUGGUUACUGCAUCAAGAUAAUUAGAGAGCUGAGGUAGUCUUUGUAUAAUUUGUACAGCUCUGUUUCGUGAAAAACGUAUGUUCACAGUUUAAGUCAGUUGAACCUUGUAUCGAUACUACUGAAACUAUAGAAGAGAAUAAGCUUGCCUGUGUUUCCCCAAAGACUCAAGGUUUUCCUACCAGCAUUUAGCAGAUGUAGAAUGGUGUAUACUGUAGUGACUGAACACACAUUUGUAUGUCCUCUCUUGAUUAAGAUACUUCUAUGUUGGCCUUCCUCCCCUCCCCAGCCAAUGAAAAUGUAAACAAUUAUAUGGAGAGUUUAAUUGCUGCAUUAUUGCCUUUUACAAUGCUGUGUUUUGGAUGUAAUUAUGUAUUUUUUAUUUCUAAGUAAUAAUCAAUUCGAUUGAGGGUCAUGUUUUCUCACUGUAUGAAAAAUGUAAUAGCUUGUAUAAGAAUACCUAUAGGCACCCUAAAGAGGUUAAGUGAUGUCUAACAGUUCAGAUACAGUAGACAUACUCUGUCAGUAAGUCUAUAACUAAAUUGUCCAUGGUGUGGCACCAAGCACAACUAUGAUCAAAUUAUUGCUCUGCCAGACACUGUUACUGACUGUACAGUAUAUAAUGCGAACUAAACCCAUUUUGACUAUACUCUGAUUGGAAUGAUACUGAUGACAUCACUGAGGGAGCUGAUCUUCAAAUCCAUUCAGAACUUGACCAAACACAUGCUUUGCUCUAGAAGAGGUCAGACAACUGACUAAUUUAACCAAUUGUCCCUGAGCUAUGUUGAGUGUAAUUCAUGUGCAAGAAAUCUGAGCAAUGGAGAUCUGAUUAAGCUAAUUAAAACUGUAAUAAAAUGACAAAUGACC
Long non-coding RNA from Salvelinus namaycush (lake trout), 3457 nucleotides. RefSeq lists it as uncharacterized. NCBI's taxonomy places the organism in Eukaryota, Metazoa, Chordata, Actinopteri, Salmoniformes, Salmonidae. The transcript has 3 exons. The record is from RefSeq and is a predicted model, not a curated record.